CCUACGGGAGGCAGCAGUGGGGAAUAUUGCACAAUGGGGGUAACCCUGAUGCAGCGACGCCGCGUGAGUGAAGAAGUAUCUCGGUAUUUUAAGCUCUAUCAGCAGGGAAGAAAAUGACGGUACCUGACUCAGAAGCCCCGGCUAACUACGUGCCAGCAACCGCGGUAAUACGGAGGGCGCAAGCGUUAUCCGGAUUUACUGGGUGUAAAGGGAGCGUAGACGGCAGAGCAAGUCUGAAGUGAAAGCCCGCGGGCCAACUGCGGGACUGCUUUGGAAACUGCCCGGCUAGAGUGCUGGAGAGGUAAGCGGAAUUCCUAGUGUAGCGGUGAAAUGCGUAGAUAUUAGGAGGAACACCAGUGGCGAAGGCGGCUUACUGGACAGUAACUGACGUUGAGGCUCGAAAGCGUGGGGAGCAAACAGGAUUAGAUACCCUGGUAGUC
This 440-nucleotide ribosomal RNA is filed under the name uncultured bacterium. RNAcentral's name for it is "partial 16S ribosomal RNA". It matches the Rfam family "Bacterial small subunit ribosomal RNA", at positions 338 to 795 of the family's 1533-position model. The record is from RNAcentral.